CCUACGGGAGGCAGCAGUGGGGAAUAUUGCACCAUGGGCGAAACCCUGAUGCAGCAACGCCGCGUGAAGGAAGACGGUUUUCGGAUUGUAAACUUCUGUUCUUAGUGAAGAAUAAUGAAGGUAGCUAAGGAGCAAGCCACGGCUAACUACGUGCCAGAAGCCGCGGUAAAAGUUAGGUGGAAAGCGUUGUCCGGAAUUAGUGGGUGUAAAGGAAGCGAAGGGGGGAAGCCAAGUCCGCGGGAAAAUCGCGGGGUUCAACCUCGCUUCGCCUGUGAAACUGUCGUUCGUGAGUGGGCGAGAAGUAUGUGGAAUGCGAGGUGUAGCGGUGGAAUGCAUAGAUAUCACGCAGAACACCGAUGGCGAAGGCAGCAUACCGGCGCCCAACUGACGCUGAAGCACGAAAGCGUGGGUAGCGAACAGGAUUAGAUACCCCGGUAGUC
Molecule: ribosomal RNA, 440 nt
Filed under: uncultured bacterium
Lineage: Bacteria
Description: partial 16S ribosomal RNA
Rfam family: Bacterial small subunit ribosomal RNA
Source: RNAcentral